CCUAGGCCAUGCUACCAUAAACAAGCCCGAUCUCAUCUGAUCUCAGAAGCUAAGCAGGGUAGAGCCUGGUUAGUACUUGGAUGGGAGACCACCUAGGAAGACCAGGUACUACUAUAGGC
RNAcentral lists this ribosomal RNA (119 nucleotides) under Pteropus alecto (black flying fox). The record is from RNAcentral. Lineage: Eukaryota; Metazoa; Chordata; Mammalia; Chiroptera; Pteropodidae.